RNAcentral lists this unclassified non-coding RNA (377 nucleotides) under fungal sp. Its description in RNAcentral is "partial internal transcribed spacer region". The record is from RNAcentral. Lineage: Eukaryota; Fungi.
AGUCGUAACAAGGUUUCGUAGGUGAACCUGUGGAAGGAUCAUUAACACGUAUCCAAACGUUAAAACAACCCUGUGAACCUUCAGCGUUUUCUUGCAGGACAUCCAGGCGCUAAAGAGUUACAGAUUUUGAUUUUGGGAAGUUUGUGUGUACGUAGACGCUGCAAUUGAGCGCUAGGUAAAGCACCCUGGUACCCUAGAGCACUCCCCUGUCUGAAAGCGACAGGGAUCAAUGUUCAGGGUGGCGCAGUCAACGAUCGCUGUAGGUCCACACGACCGGCGACCGGGGUGAGAGGCGAAAGCUCCUACGUCAUCCCUAUGUACCCUCCGGGACUUGGCGAAAGCUGACUCCGUCAUAAAUCGAACAACUCUUGGUUCUC